RNAcentral lists this ribosomal RNA (500 nucleotides) under uncultured Oscillibacter sp. RNAcentral describes it as "partial 16S ribosomal RNA". The record is from RNAcentral. Lineage: Bacteria; Bacillati; Bacillota; Clostridia; Eubacteriales; Oscillospiraceae.
CACGUAGUUAGCCGUGGCUUAUUCAAGGGGUACCGUCUUCUGCUCUUCCCCCUUAAAAGAAGUUUACAACCCGAAAGCCUUCUUCCUUCACGCGGCGUUGCUGGGUCAGACUUGCGUCCAUUGCCCGAUAUUCCCCACUGCUGCCUCCCGUAGGAGUCUGGGCCGUAUCUCAGUCCCAAUGUGGCCGGCCAACCUCUCAGUCCGGCUACUGAUCGUCGCCUUGGUGGGCCGUUACCUCACCAACUAGCUAAUCAGACGCGAGGCCAUCUUCCAGCGAUAAAUCUUUGACAUUCAAACCAUGCGAUUCAAAUGUAUCAUGCGGUAUUAGCAGUCGUUUCCAACUGUUGUCCCCCUCUGGAAGGCAGGUUCCUCACGCGUUACUCACCAGUCCGCCACUAAGUGUUCCCAUCCAUUGUCCGAAAACUCUUUCAGGGGCACUCCGUUCGACUUGCAUGUGUUAAGCACGCCGCCAGCGUUCGUCCUGAGCCAGGAUCAAACCU